RNAcentral lists this ribosomal RNA (403 nucleotides) under Fusobacteriota bacterium. Its description in RNAcentral is "Fusobacteria bacterium partial 16S ribosomal RNA". It matches the Rfam family "Bacterial small subunit ribosomal RNA", at positions 355 to 776 of the family's 1533-position model. Lineage: Bacteria; Fusobacteriati; Fusobacteriota. The record is from RNAcentral.
UGGGGAAUAUUGCACAAUGGAGGGAACUCUGAUGCAGCGACGCCGCGCGAACGAAGAAGGCUUUCGAGUCGUAAAGUUCUUUUAUAUGGGAAGAUAAUGACGGUACCAUAAGAAAAAGCCCCGGCUAACUACGUGCCAGCAGCCGCGGUAAUACGUAGGGGGCUAGCGUUGUCCGGCAUCAAUGGGCGUAAAGGGUUCGCAGGCGGAAAUGCAAGUCAGGUGUAAAAGGCAGUAGCUUAACUACUGUAAGCAUUUGAAACUGCAUAUCUUGAGAAGAGUAGAGGUAAGUGGAAUUUUUAGUGUAGCGGUGAAAUGCGUAGAUAUUAAAAAGAAUACCGGUGGCGAAGGCGACUUACUGGGCUCAUUCUGACGCUGAGGAACGAAAGCGUGGGUAGCAAACAGG